RNAcentral lists this ribosomal RNA (463 nucleotides) under uncultured bacterium. RNAcentral's name for it is "partial 16S ribosomal RNA". It matches the Rfam family "Bacterial small subunit ribosomal RNA", at positions 28 to 507 of the family's 1533-position model. The record is from RNAcentral.
GACGAACGCUGGCGGCGUGCUUAACACAUGCAAGUCGAACGGAAAGGCCUUUUCGGAGGUACUCGAGUGGCGAACGGGUGAGUAACACGUGGGUGAUCUGCCCUGCACUCUGGGAUAAGCCUGGGAAACUGGGUCUAAUACCGGAUAGGACCGCACUUUAGUGUGUGUGGUGGAAAGUUUUUUCGGUGUAGGAUGAGCCCGCGGCCUAUCAGCUUGUUGGUGGGGUAAUGGCCUACCAAGGCGGCGACGGGUAGCCGGACUGAGAGGUUGGUCGGCCACAUUGGGACUGAGAGACGGCACAGACUCCUACGGGAGGCAGCAGUGGGGAAUAUUGCACAAUGGGCGCAAGCCUGAUGCAGCGACGCCGCGUGGGGGAUGACGGCCUUCGGGUUGUAAACUCCUUUCGCCAGGGACGAAGCGUUUUGUGACGGUACCUGGAGAAGAAGCACCGGCUAACUACGUG